CCCUGAAACCGCCACUCUUCCUCAUAAGCAAAGCAGAAGCAGCAAAUUCUCCAUAACAAUUUCACAAACAUGGCUUCUGUACAAGAGACACUAGGCGACCUCAACAGGGACUCCUUCGUGGGCCUCCUUUCGAAGCUCAUUGGCGAGUCGAAGUUCGUGCAGAACAACCCACCAGAACUCAUUCCCGAGGAGGACCGAGUUGUGAAGCACGUCCUCGAUUCUCUUCUCCCUUACAGCACCACCACUGGUGGUGGACCCCUCCUCAUCAACCAUGUCACUUAUUUCCCCGGUAGAGGAAACGUCGUCGUUGAGUAUCCCGGAACGGUGCCGGGAAAAAUCUUGUCUUUUGUGGGUUGUCAUAUGGAUGUCGUCACCGCAAAUCCUAAUGAUUGGGAAUUCGAUCCUUUCUCAUUGAGCAUUGAUGGGGAUAAACUUUGUGGCCGUGGAACUACUGAUUGCUUGGGCCAUGUUGCACUUGUAACUGAGCUCAUGAAGAAGCUGGGGGAAACAAAACCAAAACUGAAGUCAACUGUGGUUGCCGUAUUUAUAGCAAAUGAAGAGAACUCUGCCAUAUCAGGGGUUGGUGUGGAUGCAUUGGUGAAAGAUGGACUACUCAAUAAAUUGAAGGAUGGUCCUUUGUUUUGGAUUGACACAGCUGAUAAACACCCUUGCAUUGGUACUGGUGGUAUGAUACCUGGGAAGCUUAAAGUGACUGGGAAGCUUUUUCACAGUGGUUUAGCACAUAAGGCUAUCAACGCGCUAGAGCUAGCCAUGGAAGCACUCAAAGAGAUCCAGUUGCGCUUUUAUAGAGACUUCCCUCCCCAUCCUAAGGAGCAAGUCUAUGGAUUUGCAACACCUUCAACAAUGAAACCAACUCAGUGGAGUUACCCAGGUGGUGGGAUCAAUCAAAUUCCAGGUGAAUGUACAGUUUCAGGGGAUGUCAGGCUAACUCCCUUCUACAAUGUUAAGGAUGUCAUGAAAAAGUUACAAGAAUAUGUGGAUGAUAUUAAUGAGAACAUAGAAAAGCUUGACACACGGGGUCCAGUUUCAAAGUAUGUUCUACCAGAUGAAAAACUAAGGGGAAGCCUUGCAAUAAGCUUUGAUGAGGCAACGUCUGGAGUUGCUUGUGAUCUCAACUCUCGUGGAUUCCACGUACUGUGUAAAGCAACUGAAGAGGUAGUUGGGCAUGUAAAGCCAUACUCGAUUACUGGAACUUUACCACUCAUUCGAGAAUUGCAGGAAGAAGGUUUUGAUGUUCAAACUUCUGGCUAUGUUGCAAAGUUGUGAUGGUGGUGGCCUGACAAUGAACUGAAGGAGUCUUUCUUUUGGUUUGGCUAUUUCAAAUUUUGUUAAUAGAAUGCUUGAGUGGUUGCUUAAGGUUUGAUGGCUACAUACCAUGCGAAGAACGAGUACUGCCUUUUUACUGAUAUGUCGCAAGGCUACCGUGUCUUUGUCAGCAUUAUCUCUCAAUUAGAAGAUUGAAAGAACGGAAAGCAUUUCGCUAAUGGUAACAAUAAGGUAUAAUUUCUGGCAUUCAUGGUUUAAUGAUGGUAUAAACUCAGGCUCAUUUGAAGGGUUAUGCAGUGAAAUUUUCAGUUUCCAAUUUCAUUGUCCCCAGUCUCUUUCACAUUUACAUAUGUUAUGCCUGUUAUUUGGCUUCUCUAGCUUUUGACUCUUCUUAUGUUACAUCUAAUGGGGCUUUCCAUAUGAAAGGAUGGUUUUUUGUAAAUCGUGAGAUAACUAAAAAAUAAUAAUCACAAAAACAAAUACCUGUUGGGAAACACUA
RNA transcript from Ziziphus jujuba (common jujube), 1786 nucleotides. It is a transcript of the gene named acetylornithine deacetylase, with no coding region annotated. The transcript is spliced from 11 exons. The record is from RefSeq and is a predicted model, not a curated record. Lineage: Eukaryota; Viridiplantae; Streptophyta; Magnoliopsida; Rosales; Rhamnaceae.